UGCUGCUUGCAGCUUUUUAGAUCAGGACUGCAAUGGAGAUACAAUUAAAUCCUAAAGGUACUUUAGAAGCAGGGGGUGUUGUAAUGUCUUUUCUAGAUAAUGGCGUGACACUAUGAAGAGAUAUCAAGUUUAAUUCUUACAAAUUAGAAAGCAUCAUCUGACUAAACUGAGUGUCUCUGGGGCUUAAUCAGCUUGUAUCACUAGUGGGGUUUUGUCAUGCAAACUGCACUCCUUUAAAUCAUAAGGAUGUGCUGGAAGGCUGCUUUCACUUUUUAGAAUUAAACUUUUCCCCCAGUCUCGUGAGUAUUGCAACUCUCUUAAUGCUUUUAGGAGCUUCAAAGCAUCCUUAAGAAAGGGAAACUAACUUUUGAGAAUAUUAUGGAAAAACUGCGAAUCAAGUAUUCCGAAAUGUACACCAUAGUCCCUGCAGAGAUUGAAUCCCAGGUGGAAGAAUGCAGAAAAGCUUUAGAAGACAUAGAUGAGAAGAUUAGCAAUGAAGUCUUAAAAAGCUCACCAUCAUAUGCAAUGAGGAGAAAAAUAGAAGAAAUUAACAAUGGGCUUCAUAAUGUUGAAAAGAUGUUGCAGCAGAAAAGCAAAAAUAUUGAGAAAGCUCAAGAAAUUCAAAAGAAAAUGUGGGACGAGUUAGAUCUAUGGCAUUCCAAACUAAAUGAGCUGGAUUCUGAAGUUCAGGACAUUGUUGAACAGGACCCAGGACAGGCUCAAGAAUGGAUGGAUAACUUGAUGAUUCCUUUCCAGCAGUAUCAGCAAGUAUCACAGAGAGCAGAGUGUAGAACCUCACAGUUGAAUAAGGCCACAGUUAAGAUGGAGGAAUACAGUGACCUUCUGAAGAGCACUGAGGCUUGGAUAGAAAAUACCAGUCAUUUGCUGGCCAAUCCUGCUGACUAUGACUCUUUGAGGACACUGAGUCACCAUGCUAGCGCUCUGCAGGAUUCCAAGGGUUUUAGAAGUGGACGAAGACCAAAUAUAUAUGUUUCUUAUUAUGUUACAGUUAUACGGAUGGCUUUGGAAGAUUCAGAACAGAAGCACAAUCUUUUACAUUCAAUCUUUAUGGAUCUAGAAGACCUGUCAAUAAUUUUUGAAACAGAUGAAUUAACACAAUCCAUACAAGAGUUAAGUAAUCAAGUAACAGCUUUACAGCAAAAAAUAAUGGAAAGCCUUCCACAGAUUCAGCGAAUGGCUGAUGAUAUGGUUGCUAUUGAAUCUGAAGUAAAAUCAAUGGAAAAAAGAGUUUCAAAAAUCAAAACUAUCCUAUUAUCAAAAGAAAUAUUUGAUUUUUCACCUGAAGAACAUCUCAAACAUGGGGAGGUCAUACUUGAAAAUAUACGUCCCAUGAAGAAAACCAUUGCUGAGAUAGUGUCUUACCAAGUGGAACUGAGGUUGCCCCAAACAGGAAUGAAACCUCUGCCUGUGUUUCAGCGGACAAAUCAGCUUUUACAAGAUAUAAAACUAUUGGAAAAUAUGACUCAAGAACAAAAUGAGUUAUUAAAGGUAGUCAUAAAACAGACCAAUGAAUGUGAUGAAGAAAUAGAAAAUUUGAAACAGAUCUUAAAUAAUUAUUCAGCUCAGUUCUCCCUUGAACAUAUGUCACCAGACCAAGCUGACAAGCUGCCACAACUACAGGGAGAAAUCGAACGUAUGGAGAAACAGAUUCUGAGUUUGAACCAGAGAAAAGAAGACCUGUUGGUGGACUUGAAGGCCACCGUACUAAACCUUCACCAGCAUUUGAAGCAAGAACAAGAAGGAGUAGAAAGAGAUAGGCUGCCAGCUGUAACAUCAGAGGAAGGUGGAGUGGCAGAGAGGGAUGCUUCUGAGCGGAAGUUGAACAGAAGAGGCUCCAUGUCUUACCUGGCAGCAGUCGAGGAAGAGGUGGAAGAAAGUUCCGUGAAGAGCGAAAAUGGAGAUGAGAAGGCAGAGCCAUCUCCUCAGUCUUGGUCUUCACUUUGGAAGCAUGACAAGGACAUGGAGGAAGACAGAGCUUCCUCAUCCUCUGGAACAAUUGUUCAGGAAGCAUAUGGGAAAAUAAGCACCUCUGAUAAUUCCAUGGCACAAAUCCUCACACCAGACUCACUAAACACUGAGCAAGGCCCAGAAUGUUCCCUAAGGCCCAACCAAACAGAAGAGGGCACCACACCUCCUAUUGAGGCUGACACUCUGGACUCUUCUGACGCGCAAGGAGGUUUGGAGCCCAGGGUGGAGAAAACUAGGCCGGAGCCCGCAGAAGUCCUGCAUGCCUGCAAGACCCAGGUGGCCGAGCUGGAGCUGUGGCUGCAACAAGCCAACGUGGCAGUUGAGCCGGAAACAUUAAACUCAGACAUGCAGCAGGUGCUGGAACAGCAGCUGGUAGGGUGCCAGGCUAUGCUAACGGAGAUUGAGCACAAGGUUGCCUUUCUGUUAGAGACUUGCAAAGAUCAGGGUCUGGGAGAUAAUGGAGCCACUCAACAUGAGGCUGAAGCGCUUUCCCUGAAACUGAAAACAGUGAAGUGCAAUUUAGAAAAAGUCCAGAUGAUGCUUCAGGAGAAGCACAGUGAAGAUCAGCAUCCUACCAUUCUAAAGAAAUCCUCAGAGCCAGAGCAUCAAGAAGCUCUCCAACCAGUCAACCUUUCUGAAUUGGAAUCCAUUGUAACUGAAAGGCCACAAUUCAGCAGACAAAAAGAUUUCCAGCAGCAACAGGUUCUGGAGUUAAAACCAAUGGAACAGAAAGAUUUCAUCAAAUUCAUAGAAUUUAAUGCUAAGAAAAUGUGGCCCCAGUAUUGCCAACAUGAUAAAGAUACAACUCAGGAAUCAUCUGCAAGCAACCAGGCAACCAGCCCUGAAAAUGACGUUCCAGACUCGAUCUUGUCACCCCAGGGCCAAAAUGGAGAUAAGUGGCAAUAUCUGCAUCAUGAACUCUCAUCAAAAAUAAAGCUCCCACUCCCUCAGCUUGUGGAGCCUCAGGUUUCCACAAAUAUGGGUAUUCUACCCAGCGUGAGUAUGUAUAACUUUAGAUACCCAACAACUGAAGAACUGAAAACCUACACCACCCAACUUGAAGACCUGCGCCAAGAAGCAAGUAACCUUCAGACACAGGAAAAUAUGACAGAAGAAGCAUAUAUCAAUUUGGAUAAAAAAUUGUUUGAACUAUUCCUGACCCUCAGUCAGUGCCUCAGCAGUGUGGAGGAGAUGCUGGAGAUGCCCAGGCUUUACAGGGAGGAUGGUUCUGGCCAGCAGGUGCACUAUGAGACGCUGGCUCUUGAGUUGAAGAAACUUUAUUUAGCGCUAAGUGACAAGAAGGGUGAUCUUUUGAAAGCCAUGACUUGGCCUGGCAAGAACACCAACUUGCUCCUUGAAUGUUUUGACAACCUUCAAGUCUGCCUGGAGCACACUCAGGCUGCAGCUGUCUGUAGAAGCAAGUCCCUGAAAGCUGGCCUCGAUUACAACCGCAGUUACCAGCAUGAAAUAAAGAGAUUAUAUGAUCAGCUCAUUAAGAGUAAGACAUCUUUACAACAGUCUUUGAAUGAAAUCAGUGGGCAGAGUGUUGCUGAACAGCUUCAGAAAGCGGAUGCAUAUAGAGUGGAGCUGGAGAACGCCGAGAGCCGAGUGGCCAAACUAAGAGAUGAAGGGGAGAGGCUUCAUUUACCUUAUGCUUUACUCCAGGAGGUUUACAAAUUAGAGGAUGUACUUGACAGUAUGUGGGGAAUGCUAAGAGCCAGGUACACAGAACUCAGCGGCCCUUUCGUCACUGAGAGCCAGCAAGAUGCUUUGUUGCAAGGCAUGGUGGAACUGGUGAAGAUUGGGAAGGAAAAGCUUGCUCAUGGCCACUUAAAACAAACCAAAAGUAAAGUGGCGUUACAGGCUCAAAUAGAAAAUCACAAGGUUUUUUUCCAGAAGCUUGUUGCUGACAUGUUGUUGAUCCAAGCAUACUCUGCCAAAAUACUUCCUUCUUUAUUGCAAAACAGAGAGACAUUUUGGGCAGAACAAGUAACAGAAGUUAAAAUGCUAGAAGAAAAGUCACGCCAAUGUGGUAUGAAGCUGCAGAGUUUGUUGCAGAAAUGGGAAGAAUUUGAUGAAAACUAUGCAUCUCUUGAAAAGGACCUGGAAAUUCUUAUAUCUACAUUGCCCUCUGUGAGUUUGGUGGAAGAAACAGAGGAAAGAUUAGUGGAAAGGAUUUCAUUUUACCAGCAAAUAAAAAGAAACAUUGGUGGAAAACACGCCCGGCUUUACCAAACUCUGAACGAAGGCAAACAGUUGGUGGCGUCUGUGAGCUGUCCUGAAUUAGAGGGCCAGAUCGCAAAACUGGAAGAGCAGUGGUUGUCCCUGAACAAGAAAAUUGACCAUGAGCUCCACAGGCUGCAAGCUCUUCUCAAGCAUCUGCUCAGUUAUAACAGAGAUUCGGAUCAGUUAACCAAGUGGUUGGAAUCUUCCCAGCAUACUCUGAAUUACUGGAAAGAACAGUCCCUCAAUGUGUCUCAGGACUUGGAUACAAUCAGAAGCAACAUCGACAAUUUUUUUGAGUUUUCAAAAGAAGUUGAUGAAAAAUCCUCCUUGAAGACUGCCGUUAUCAGUAUCGGGAACCAGCUUCUUCACCUGAAAGAAACUGAUACAGCUACACUGAGAGCUUCUUUAGCACAGUUUGAACAAAAAUGGACAAUGCUCAUAACUCAACUUCCAGAUAUUCAAGAAAAACUUCACCAGCUUCAAAUGGAGAAAUUGCCGUCUCGUAAAGCAAUCACAGAAAUGAUUAGCUGGAUGAACAAUGUGGAGCAUCAAACUUCAGAUGAAGACUCCAUGCAUUCACCAAGUUCUGCAUCUCAAGUUAAACAUCUUCUUCAGAAGCACAAGGAGUUUAGAAUGGAAAUGGACUAUAAACAGUGGAUAGUUGACUUUGUUAACCAGUCAUUACUUCAGCUAAGCACCUGUGAUGUAGAAAGCAAGCGCUAUGAAAGAACGGAGUUUGCAGAGCACCUGGGGGAGAUGAACCGCCAGUGGCACCGUGUACAUGGAAUGCUGAAUAGAAAGAUACAACAUUUAGAACAACUUCUAGAAAGUAUCACUGAGAGUGAAAAUAAAAUACAGAUUUUGAACAACUGGAUGGAAGCACAAGAAGAGAGACUGAAAACUUUACAAAAACCUGAAAGUGUGAUCUCAGUGCAGAAGCUGCUCCUGGACUGUCAGGAUAUAGAAAAUCAACUUGCAAUUAAAUCCAGAGCACUGGAUGAGUUGAAACAAAGUUAUCUGACUUUGGAGAGUGGGGCAGUGCCAUUGUUAGAAGAUACAGCAUCCCGAAUUGAUGAGUUAUUUCAAAAGAGAAGCAGUGUUCUCACUCAGGUCAAUCAGCUCAAAACCUCCAUGCAGUCAGUUUUACAGGAGUGGAAGAUUUAUGAUCAACUCUAUGAUGAAGUGAAUAUGAUGACAAUCCGAUUCUGGUACUGCAUGGAACACAGCAAGCCUGUGGUGUUAUCAUUGGAGACCUUGAGAUGCCAGGUGGAGAACCUUCAGUCUCUGCAAGAUGAAGCUGAGAGCAGUGAAGGGAGUUGGGAGAAACUCCAGGAGGUUAUUGGCAAACUCAAAGGUCUCUGCCCCUCUGUUGCUGAAAUAAUCGAAGAGAAAUGCCAAAAUACUCAUAAAAGGUGGACUCAGGUGAACCAAGCCAUUGCAGACCAGUUGCAGAAGGCCCAGAGUCUGCUCCAGCUCUGGAAGGCCUAUAGCAAUGCUCAUAGUGAAGCUGCCGCAAGGCUGAAGCAGCAGGAAGCAAAGUUUCAGCAGCUCGCAAACAUCAGCAUGUCUGGAAACAACCUGGCAGAGAUCCUGCCCCCAGCCCUGCAGGACAUAAAGGAGCUGCAGCAUGAUGUGCAGAAGACAAAAGAAGCCUUUCUCCAAAAUUCCAGUGUCCUGGAUCGACUCCCACAACCCGCAGAGUCCAGCACCCACAUGCUCCUCCCGGGCCCCCUGCACUCUCUCCAGAGGGCUGCUUAUUUGGAAAAGAUGCUGCUUGUGAAAGCAAAUGAAUUUGAGUUUGUUCUCUCACAGUUUAAGGAUUUUGGAGUCCGGCUAGAAUCUUUAAAAGGUCUUAUUAUGCAUGAAGAAGAGAAUUUGGAUAGACUUCACCAACAAGAAAAAGAAAAUCCUGACUCAUUCCUGAAUCAUGUGCUGGCACUGACAGCCCAAUCACCUGAUAUUGAACAUUUGAAUGAAGUGAGCCUCAAGCUCCCACUUAGUGACGUAGCUGUGAAGACGUUACAAAAUAUGAACCGGCAAUGGAUUCGGGCCACGGCCACGGCACUGGAGCGCUGCAGUGAGCUUCAGGGAAUUGGAUUGAAUGAAAAGUUUCUUUAUUGCUGUGAAAAGUGGAUCCAACUUUUGGAGAAGAUAGAAGAAGCACUCAAAGUGGAUGUGGCUAACAGCCUUCCUGAGCUCCUGGAGCAGCAGAAAACCUAUGAGAUGUUAGAAGCUGAAGUUUCUAUAAACCAGACAAUUGCUGAUUCCUAUGUCACCCAGUCCUUACAACUCCUGGACACAACAGAAAUAGAGAACAGACCAGAAUUUAUUACAGAAUUCUCAAAGCUGACGGAUCGGUGGCAGAAUGCUGUCCAGGGUGUUCGGCAGAGGAAGGGUGACGUUGAUGGGCUGGUGAGGCAGUGGCAAGAUUUCACUACUUCUGUGGAGAACUUGUUUCGCUUCCUCACUGACACCAGCCACCUGCUAUCUGCAGUGAAGGGCCAGGAGCGCUUCAGCCUCUACCAAACCAGAAGUCUGAUCCAUGAGCUGAAGAAUAAAGAAAUUCAUUUUCAAAGGAGGCGAACUACCUAUGCCCUAACCUUGGAAGCUGGAGAAAAGUUACUGCUCACAACUGACCUGAAAACUAAAGAGUCUGUGGGUAGGAGAAUCAGUCAACUUCAGGACAGCUGGAAAGACAUGGAGCCCCAGCUGGCAGAGAUGAUUAAACAGUUCCAGAGCACUGUAGAGACCUGGGACCAGUGUGAAAAGAAAAUCAAGGAGUUGAAAAGCAGGCUGCAAGUUUUAAAGGCACAAAGUGAAGAUCCUCUUCCAGAGCUUCACGAGGACCUCCAUAACGAAAAAGAGCUGAUUAAGGAACUAGAACAGUCUUUGGCUAGCUGGACUCAGAACUUGAAAGAACUUCAAACUAUGAAGGCGGACUUAACCCGGCACGUUCUCGUGGAAGACGUGAUGGUUUUGAAGGAGCAAAUAGAGCAUUUGCACAGACAAUGGGAGGACCUCUGCUUAAGGGUGGCCAUACGUAAACAGGAGAUUGAAGACAGACUCAAUACAUGGGUUGUAUUCAAUGAAAAAAAUAAAGAGUUGUGUGCCUGGCUGGUGCAGAUGGAAAACAAAGUUCUACAGACAGCGGACAUUAAUAUUGAAGAAAUGAUUGAAAAGUUACAGAAGGACUGCAUGGAAGAAAUAAACUUGUUUAGUGAAAACAAGUUACAGUUAAAGCAGAUGGGUGACCAGUUGAUCAAGGCCAGCAACAAAUCAAGAGCAGCUGAGAUCGAUGACAAGCUCAACAAAAUUAACGAUCGUUGGCAACAUCUUUUUGAUGUCAUCGGAUCAAGGGUGAAGAAGCUGAAGGAGACCUUUGCUUUUAUUCAGCAGUUGGACAAAAACAUGAGCAACCUUCGCACCUGGUUGGCUCGAAUUGAGUCUGAGCUUUCCAAGCCUGUUGUUUAUGAUGUCUGCGAUGAUCAAGAGAUCCAGAAGAGGCUCGCUGAGCAGCAGGAUCUACAGCGAGAUAUUGAACAACACAGCGCAGGGGUGGAGUCCGUGUUUAACAUCUGUGACGUCCUGCUGCACGACUCCGAUGCCUGUGCAAAUGAGACCGAGUGUGACUCGAUCCAGCAGACCACCAGGAGCCUGGACAGACGCUGGAGGAACAUUUGUGCCAUGUCCAUGGAGCGGCGCAUGAAAAUCGAGGAGACGUGGCGCCUGUGGCAGAAGUUUUUAGACGACUAUUCUCGCUUUGAGGACUGGCUCAAGUCAGCUGAGAGGACGGCGGCCUGCCCAAAUUCCUCAGAGGUGUUGUACACGAGUGCCAAAGAGGAACUGAAGAGGUUUGAGGCCUUUCAGCGGCAGAUUCACGAGCGGCUCACUCAGCUGGAGCUCAUCAACAAGCAGUACCGGCGGCUGGCCCGGGAGAACCGCACAGACACGGCCAGCAGGCUGAAGCAGAUGGUCCACGAGGGCAACCAGCGCUGGGACAACCUUCAGAGGCGGGUCACAGCCGUCCUGCGGAGACUCAGGCAUUUCACCAACCAGAGGGAAGAAUUUGAGGGCACCAGGGAGAGCAUUCUGGUGUGGCUCACAGAGAUGGACCUGCAGCUGACCAACGUGGAGCACUUCUCAGAGAGUGACGCCGAUGACAAGAUGCGCCAACUGAAUGGCUUCCAACAGGAAAUUACAUUAAAUACCAACAAGAUUGAUCAGCUCAUUGUGUUUGGGGAGCAGCUGAUUCAGAAGAGCGAGCCCCUGGAUGCUGUGCUGAUUGAGGAUGAGCUGGAGGAACUCCACCGCUACUGCCAGGAGGUGUUUGGAAGGGUCUCCCGGUUCCACCGGCGGCUCACCUCCUGCACUCCGGGCUUGGAAGAUGAAAAGGAGGCCUCUGAGAAUGAAACAGACAUGGAAGACCCCAGAGAAAUCCAGACUGAUUCCUGGCGUAAACGGGGAGAGAGCGAGGAACCGUCAUCUCCUCAGUCCCUGUGUCAUCUAGUGGCCCCGGGGCACGAGCGGUCUGGCUGCGAGACCCCUGUCAGCGUGGACUCCAUCCCCCUGGAGUGGGACCACACAGGCGACGUGGGGGGCUCCUCCUCUCACGAAGAGGACGAGGAGGGCCCAUACUACAGCGCACUGUCAGGUAAAUCCAUUUCGGAUGGCCACUCGUGGCAUGUUCCCGACAGCCCUUCCUGUCCCGAGCAUCACUACAAGCAAAUGGAAGGUGACAGGAAUGUUCCACCUGUUCCCCCUGCGUCCAGCACCCCUUAUAAACCACCCUAUGGAAAGCUACUAUUACCUCCAGGCACGGAUGGUGGCAAAGAAGGCCCGCGAGUCCUGAAUGGCAGCCCACAGCAGGAAGACGGGGGACUGGCCGGUAUCACAGAGCAGCAGUCAGGUGCCUUCGACAGAUGGGAGAUGAUUCAAGCACAGGAGCUUCACAAUAAGCUCAAAAUAAAACAAAAUUUGCAACAGCUGAACUCUGAUAUCAGUGCCAUCACUACUUGGCUGAAAAAAACUGAAGCAGAGCUGGAAAUGUUAAAGAUGGCAAAGCCUCCCUCUGAUAUCCAGGAAAUAGAACUGAGAGUGAAGAGACUGCAGGAGAUACUGAAAGCCUUUGACACUUACAAGGCAUUAGUGGUCUCUGUCAACGUGAGCAGCAAGGAAUUUCUGCAAACCGAGAGCCCCGAAUCCACAGAGCUCCAAAGUAGACUCCGCCAGCUGAGCCUGCUCUGGGAAGCAGCACAGGGCGCAGUGGACAGCUGGAGAGGGGGCUUACGACAGUCGCUCAUGCAGUGCCAGGACUUCCACCAGUUGAGUCAAAAUCUGCUGCUGUGGUUAGCGAGUGCCGAGAACCGGAGGCAGAAGGCUCAUGUCACCGAUCCAAAGGCAGACCCCCGGGCUCUCCUAGAGUGUCAGAGGGAACUAAUGCAACUGGAAAAGGAGCUGGUAGAACGUCAACCUCAAGUGGACAUGUUACAGGAGAUUUCAAACAGCCUUCUCAUUAAGGGAUAUGGAGAAGACUAUAUUGAAGCUGAAGAAAAGGUGCAUGUUAUUGAGAAGAAACUCAAACAGUUACGGGAGCAAGUGUCCCAAGAUUUAAUGGCCUUGCAGGGAACCCAGAACCCAGCCCCACCCCUGCCCAGCUUCGACGAGGUAGACUCGGGGGACCAGCCUCCUGCAACAUCCGUGCCAGCUCCCCGAGCAAAGCAGUUCAGAGCAGUGAGAACUACAGAAGGCGAGGAGGAGACAGAGAGCAGGGUCCCCGGCAGCACACGGCCACAGCGCUCCUUCCUCUCAAGGGUGAUCCGGGCAGCCCUACCCCUGCAGCUGCUCCUCCUGCUGCUGCUGCUCCUGGCCUGCCUGCUGCCCUCCUCCGAAGAAGACUACAGCUGCACUCAGGCCAACAACUUUGCCCGGUCCUUUUACCCCAUGCUGAGGUACACCAAUGGGCCACCCCCCACAUAGAGGGCAUAGCUGGCCACAGUGCUACACCACCUGCCUGAUUGCCAAGGGUGCCCAGCACGUGGCCCCAGACCAAUCUGAGUGACUUAGUGUUGGCAAGGUCCCGGGACCUGUGCAGACUUCUUCUGGGCUUACCCAGCACGGGCUCCCUGGAGCCCAGGGCAGCUUUCAAAUUGUGUUCCUCCCCAGGAGCAGGGAACCUGUGCGGCAGGUGCCCCGGGUAUUUUGGCAGAACUAGUUGAUUCGUUUAGGGAUCUCUGGAAAUGUCAGUUUCCUGAAGAGCCAAGCACUUUGUGAAUUCUGGUUUAUUUGUAAAACAGCAUUAUUAUAAUGUAGGUAUGGUCAAUGAGCAGUGGUGUCCAUCACAUAUAUUAUAGAAGCAAGCGAGCACAUUCCACCCUAGAAAUGGUUCAGAAACUCAUAGGCACCCUUAGCUGAUGGAAACAAUCAUAUUUAAUAUGCUUAGAAUCAGUUUUACUCCAAUCAGCUGGCAAUUUUGAGCUACCGGUUAUACACCAAAAUGUUCUGUUCAGUACCUAGCUCUGCUCUUUUAUAUUGCUUUAAAUUUUUAAAGAAAUUAUAUUGCAUGGAUGUGGUUAUUUGUGCAUAUUUUUUAACAAUGCCCAAUCUGUAUGAAUAAUGUAAACUUCGAUUUUUUUUUAAAAAAAUUAGAUUUUAGCUGGAGCUUUUGACUAAUGUACAGUAAAUGCCAAACUACCGACUUGAUAGGGAUGUUUUUGUAAGUUAAUUUUCUAAGACUUUUUCACAUCCAAAGUGAUGCUUUGGGUUUUAACUGUUUGGCCACGGCGGGGGUGGGGGGCGGGGGUUGGUACAGAAACUUGAAGCUGUUUGUGAUAUGUACAACUCAGAUGUUUCUCAUUAAAAAACAAAAUUAGCC
Molecule: small RNA, 11086 nt
Filed under: Pan troglodytes (chimpanzee)
Lineage: Eukaryota; Metazoa; Chordata; Mammalia; Primates; Hominidae
Description: retained intron
Source: RNAcentral